AGUUUGAUUAUGGCUCAGAAUGAACGCUGGCGGCGUGCUUAACACAUGCAAGUCGGACGAGAAAGGCUGAUUUCGGUUGGCCGAGUAAAGUGGCGCACGGGUGAGUAACGCGUAGGCAACCUACCCUUGUAUUGGGGAUAACCCUGCGAAAGUGGGGCUAAUACCGGAUGAGACCCUAUUCUGGAGGGGAUAGGGUGAAAGUCGGCCGCUCGGAGAAGCUGACGUACGAGGAUGGGCCUGCGUCCUAUCAGCUGGUUGGUGGGGUAGCGGCCUACCAAGGCGACGACGGGUAGCUGGUCUGAGAGGAUGAUCAGCCACACUGGCACUGGAACACGGGCCAGACUCCUACGGGAGGCAGCAGUGAGGAAUUUUGCGCAAUGGCCGCAAGGCUGACGCAGCAACGCCGCGUGGGUGAUGAAGGCCUUCGGGUCGUAAAGCCCUGUCAGGUGGGAAGAAAGGCCUGGAGAGGAAAGGUUUCAGGUUUGACGGUACCACCAGAGGAAGCACCGGCUAACUCCGUGCCAGCAGCCGCGGUAAUACGGAGGGUGCGAGCGUUAUUCGGAAUUACUGGGCGUAAAGCGCGUGUAGGCGGGGGGACAAGUCUGAUGUGAAAGCCCUGGGCUUAACCUGGGAAGCGCAUUGGAAACUGUUUUUCUUGAGUACUGGAGGGGAAGGGGGAAUUCCCGGUGUAGAGGUGAAAUUCGUAGAGAUCGGGAGGAAUACCAGUGGCGUAGGCGCCCUUCUGGACGGUAACUGACGCUGAGACGCGAAAGCGUGGGGAGCAAACAGGAUUAGAUACCCUGGUAGUCCACGCUGUAAACGAUGAUCACUAGGUGUAGCGGGUACUCAUUCCUGCUGUGCCGCAGCUAACGCGUUAAGUGAUCCGCCUGGGGAUUACGGUCGCAAGACUAAAACUCAAAGGAAUUGACGGGGGCCCGCACAANCGGUGGANUAUGUGGUUUAAUUCGACGCNNCGCGAANAACCUUACCUGGGCUUGNNNUCCCCGGCUAGCCUUANAAANA
RNAcentral lists this ribosomal RNA (1023 nucleotides) under uncultured bacterium. Its description in RNAcentral is "bacterial SSU rRNA". It matches the Rfam family "Bacterial small subunit ribosomal RNA", at positions 10 to 1008 of the family's 1533-position model. The record is from RNAcentral.